Cordylochernes scorpioides is the source of this 75-nucleotide non-coding RNA. NCBI's taxonomy places the organism in Eukaryota, Metazoa, Arthropoda, Arachnida, Pseudoscorpiones, Chernetidae. The record is from the annotation of a GenBank genome assembly.
GUCCAGGGUAGCCUAGUGGACAUGGCAUCUGCCCGGUAAGCGGAACACUGUGGGUUCGGUUCCCAUCCCUGUACA